Molecule: ribosomal RNA, 301 nt
Filed under: uncultured bacterium
Lineage: Bacteria
Description: partial 16S ribosomal RNA
Rfam family: Bacterial small subunit ribosomal RNA
Source: RNAcentral
CAGUAGCCGCGGUAAUACGUAGGUGGCAAGCGUUGUCCGGGAUUAUUGGGCGUAAAGGGCUCGCAGGCGGUUUCUUAAGUCUGAUGUGAAAGCCCCCGGCUCAACCGGGGAGGGUCAUUGGAAACUGGGAAACUUGAGUGCAGAAGAGGAGAGUGGAUUUCCACGUGUAGCGGUGAAAUGCGUAGAGAUGUGGAGGAACACCAGUGGCGAAGGCGACUCUCUGGUCUGUAACUGACGCUGAGGAGCGAAAGCGUGGGGAGCGAACAGGAUUAGAUACCCGUGUAGUCCCUGUCUCUUAUAC